AUAUCCUGUAACAUAGAAGGACAGGAGAGAUGAAAACAGAGACAAAAACCAGAGAGACGACAAGUGGGACAGAGAAGAAGGAAGAGGAAAAAACCAGCCUGAUUUUUCACAAUAUGGGUCAGAUUUUUUUGUUUUUUCAGUGUCAGUAGCAGCUUAUGAAGAGGCACAGGACAGGACUUAAGCUUACAGAGCACAGCCUCAGAAAUAAUGUCAAGCUACUUUAAAUGUCAUGUAUUCACUUUGCACCAUGUGGAUUAUGUUUAACUUCUGGGGUGUGUGUAAAGGUCUAGUUGUUUCCUGAUAUGCUGGAAUCCUUCAGUCUGUCUUUUAUUUAUGCCAAUAAAGACCACUUUAGUGAAUGGAAUUAAAAAGAUUUUAAAUUAAGUGAACUGGAGACACACUCAGUUGGUCAGAUGGAAACCAGCCUCUUCCUUCUCUUCUCUCUCUCUAUCACUCCAAACACCUCUAACAUGGAACCAUUUCCAUGUGAAAUAUAUGCAUGCAGUACAGGCUGCAUAUAUGAACGUGUUUUGCAUGCAUUUGUGUGCAUUUGCACUAUUUCCCUGAACAACCUCAUGUUCCUCUUAUCAUCCACUCUUUUAAAUCAUCUGUAUCUCUAAAUCCCCUUGUGUGUGUGUAUGUCAGUGACUGUAUUUGUUUGUGUGUGAGCUCCCUUUCUCUCCCAUAAAAAGCACUUUCUCCUGUGUUUCAUGGACUAGUGCCAUGUCUUUGUUCUUUGUUACAUUUUUCCUAUGGGAGCAGAAACACAAAGUCACGCACCCAACUAAACACUAAAACAGAGCAGGCAGAAACAAAACCACACUUGCUGAACAAUAUGCAUGCAAGCAUAGGCGCAUAAGCUUAACGCGCACACACACAGUAAUUUGCCUUCAGACAGAGAUUGAUGGUGUGUGGUGGAAUGAGCUGUAUUUCUGUUGCACGUAUAAGAAAUGCAAAAUGUCAUUUAAAAAUGUGUUUAACUGUUUAUGAUAUUAAAAUACUUCAAGAUAUAAUAUUAUUUCAGAGAAUACUUAAAAUACCAAGCUCACCAUCCCCCAACCAUCUUACAGGGCGAAAUCAAUUCGCAGUCCAGCUCAGUAGGGGACUCUGCCAUUUUCUGAGUCUCUUAUCAGUGCCAAAGUGUUUUGGAAAUCUGAUGUUUAUGUUUUUUAUUUUUAUGUCUCCACUCAGUUCUUCUCACCUGCCAGUGAGGGGGUUCACUGACAGAGUGUACUGCAUAUAGACGUUGCUGCUACAUUCACAGUGACGUAGAGGGACUUACUUUGGCAGCCAGCGAGAACCACCUCUACACCAGCUUCCCCAUAGUCUCUCCGGAUCUGAAACAGACGCAGGCACAGACCAAAGUCAUACCCUGCACAGCGUCUUGACUCCCACAGUAUCCAGGAAGUUGACAGGGCUGAGGUCGAGGAUGAUGGCGUUGGGGAUUGAGGGGUCAGGCUCAGGAUCCAUGUCAAUGACGGCAAUACCAUUCUGCUCCUCAUUCUCUGGCUCCCUCUCCUGUACCGGAGGAGACAAGACACCAUGCGAAGAGACUAAUGAGUGCUCUCCUGGCAUUUCUCUUCUCAAGCCUCUUCCUUUUGGCCUCUAGUUUCUUCUUUGCUGACAGGAUCUUGGUAAUGUCCAUGCCAGACUAAAGCAGCGGCAAAAGACAAUCACACAUGGUAACAGUUAAAGUCACACUCAUUUUGUACAGACAAAUUUUACUCUUUUUAUGCCUCUGCUACUCUUCUCAGCUUUUUUAUCUUCAGCAAAAAGCACCAUUCUAGUUUGAAAUGGCACCAGUUCUUGAGUAAACUUGAAUGAUGGAUACUUACUUGAUAUGGUUCACAUACUUUGAGAGUCACCACAUAUUUGGCUCAGAUUGUUGCAACUGCUGUAUCUUUCUGUUCUUUCAUAUUUAAUCCAAUAAGCUAAGUAUUUCGCAAAAAGCCAUAACGAAGCUCAAUAAAACCAAAGUGAACCGUAGAUCUCUUUAAACAAACAUCCUACACCAAGUCAUUGUUUUCAGCAUUUUAUCUCCCUAAGGUACUUGAAUCAACUCCCAGGUUAUGUAAGUAAGUAGUUGCUGUCUCUUCAUUCUUUCUCUCUUUAAUUGAAUUAAGUAGUCCAGGAAAGGACAGUCUGAUUCAUUUCAUGUCUACUUUCAUCUAAAUGUUUAAAAGAAAUGAGCACAUGAUUUUAGAAAUGACUAAUAAAAUCAAAAAAAGAAGACUUUUCCCAGGAGAGACCUGCUGUACAAAGAAAAUAUGUAAUAUGUAUGACGUAACUCAGUGAGGGGAAAACAGAUGUUUGUUUGUUUGAAAAUGGAUUACUGUAAACAGCUGUUGUUGUUACCACCUGUCUAUUACAAAUUAUUAUACUAUUAAUGAGAGUAUAAGUGGUGUCAUGUCAAGGUCAGUAAGCAGUUACAGAAACACAUGUUUAUAUAAGUUUAGCCAGUUCAGGUGGUGCAGCUAGACUGGGUGAGGCAGGUGACACAGUUAGCAGACUGAAGGAUUGUUGGCAUGCUCCUCCCUACAGCUACAGACAUGGGCCGGUUUUACUUGCUCAGGAAUGUAUAAAGUGAAAAUGCAAGUAACUAUGAAAGUUUGCUUUCCUGUAUUUCCCGACUAAAGGAAGCAACAAGUUAACAGACUCAGGCUGUAAGCAGUCAGGACCCUCUCACUUUUGUUGAAGCAAACAAUCAUUGGUCUUGGUGACCCCCUUAUCAUGCAUUUUCAGUGUAAAUAAUCGCUUAUAAAGUUACUGUAGAUGGCUCUGAACUCUUUUUGGAUGUUCGCAAGCAAAUCAAUGGGCCAUUACACAUCUCAUUUGCAUUUAAAUCAUCUUGUGUAGAAAAGACACUCAGUAAGGUCUAAAGCACAACCAGGAAAUAGAAACGUCUAGAAAAAUUGUUAUGGUCGUCAGUCACCAACAUCCAAUUGAUUUUUUCAUUUUUUCCACUAAUAAAAUGUCUGGAUGCACUUGCAAAGUGGAUCAGAAUUUCAUUAAAUCCACUGAGGCUUUCUGAUUUCUCCAGAAUUAAUUUGAUAACAAUUAACAUCUCAAAAUGUCUGAUUUCAGUCUAAAAACUCCUCUUGUUUCACUAGUCCAUGCAGUCACAGCCUUAGUAUUCCCUUACACAAGAUCAGCCCAUCAGCUUAGCAGUAUGAGAUCCCAUUUCCCCACUGCCUCUCACUAUUCCACGAAAUUUGAGCUGUCCUCCUGCCACAGUGAGUGUUGGAGGGGAAACGCUUAGCAUCCAGAUCUAAAACUUACUGAAAUUCAUCUGGCGGCAAAUUUCUCACCUUGUAAACAAGUGUACAGCCUCUGCCAGUCAACAACAGCUCUAAUGAAAGCUUAUUUGUGCAUCAAAGUUUAAAAAGAAAAAGAGCAACACAGUAGCUGUGGCAUUUUGACAUUUGAAUGAAUGAGAUGUUCUAUUAUCUCCAUCCCUUAUUCAGGUUCUGCUUCUCACCCUCCCUCAGACUUUUGUCAUCUCUUUUCUACCUUCCCUCAAUCUGUCUUCCCCCUUUGCCCCAAAGAGACAUGACAGGAGAGGAGGAGGAGGAGGAGGAAGAAGAAAAGAAACAAAGGUUUAGCAGAUGAAAGGAGAGGAGAAAAUGGUGGGAUGGCAUUUUGAACAAUGUCUGUCACAGCCGUGAUGUGUGAAUUGGUGAAAUGUCAGGUCAGUUAUUAAUGUGUCAGAAAUAAUGUUUGUAAGAGAGGAGUUAAUUGCACAGAAAUUGUGACAAGGGGGAUUGUUGCUGGAGUUGGUUGUUUCCCUUUCUCUCUCUCUCUCUCUCUCUCGUGUGUGUGUGUGUGUGUGUGUGUGUGUGUGUGUGUAGCUCUGGUGUGUUUAUCUGAAUGCUCAUAUAAAUCAGGGCUUGUGUGUCCAUCAUGGUGUGUUUGCAUGUCUGAUACUGCUUUUUGAGGGAGUAUCCACAUAUUAAUACCAUUAAUAUUUCUGUAUGUGUUUGUGUUCUGCUUUCAUGCACUUUGUGAGGACGAAUUUUAUUUUUAGACUUUGAGUAUGAGGACAUUUUUGGGAAGAUAUUUUGUCAGUUUUCCCUUCUUUAAAGAGCUGUUUAAAGGGUUGAGACUUGGCUUUAGGGUCAAUUAAAGGUCCAUUUAGGGUGUGGGUGUAUGCGUGUAUGUGUGUGUGUGUGUGUUUGUCCACACCUUCUUUCCAAGAGCAUUUUGGUACAUCUCAGCAUUGGCAAAGUAGAGGGUAGCAGACGAACGGAAGAUCAAAAUUCCUGGCACCUGCCUCACCUGAAAUCAAUUGUGUUUAGAUGACUGACAUCUGACAUCACUCAUUACAUUAAUACUGUCACCUUGCAUUUUUGAUUAUCUAGAUCAGUACGCAUACAAUGUGCCAUACCUGAGUGUAGUCCUCCAGUGGCCUGUAAAUGUCAGUCUGUGGGACCUGUCCUAAUAGUGAGUAUUUAGGCCUGGAAUGUGCACAAAACAAAUAAGUGUAUAAGUAAUUUGUAAUACUUUUAAUACGUCUUUCAGGAUGGUCUGAAAAGGACUGAUGGAUUCAGUUAAUUGUGGGGAGUAGUAAAUGAUAGCUUAAUUUGACACACUCUCCCAAUGUACAUGUGUGUUUGUUAUUGCAUAAUUGUGGGCAUGCUGCCCCUACGGCAAUGUCCUCUUACAGCUGCGUCCUGAAGAUGACAGUGAGCAUGGAGAAUGCGAUGGAAGCAGCCAGUCCCAGGUCAGGAUUGAGCAGCAAGUGCAGGGAUGUCCAUAAAUUGCUUCAUCAUGCCGUGGAGGUUGACAUAGAUGAUGGCGGCCAGCACUGCCUACACAAUCAAUGCGAGGGGUCCACUGUGUCUCAGAGGGCUGAUGCCAAAAGUGUAUUUGAGCUGGGACACAAUGACAUGGAUGGCAGCUCCUGUGGUGUAACCUCGGACCAGCGGCUCAGACAGAACAAAUGGGUCCCCCUUGCAAAGAAAAUCUGCUGCAAAAGUUUUAAAAAAGUUCCUUCCACUGUAAGAUGGCACAUCUGUCUUUAAGAAGAGUUAAUCCUGCCUGCAUGCACUGGCCCCCGGGCUUCAAAUCAAAAGUCCAUCAGAUCCAAGUGGAAGAAGUAAAGUAAAAUCCACAAGAGAGAGGAAUCUCUGACUAAACAGACAAGAAGGCUCCUGCAUAUAUAACGUUUCCUCUGUCUUCUCUGCCUCCUCUCUGUCUGAGCGGGACACAGCCUCUCUGUGCUGUGAGUCCACUGCUGCAUCUUGACACCUUGAGGAGACAUCUAGAUAUGACGUUGUGUGGAGGAAAAGAGGGCAAAGUUCCAAACUGCAACAGAAGUGGUAGAAAUUAGAGAUGACCCCGCAGGAUUUGACUUAACACAGAUCAUGGCACAGACGUACAUGCAACAGGACCCUGUCACCAAACAGUGAUGUUCCCACUGACCCUGCUGCGACACAUCUGUGAUUCAAAAAAUAAACUAGAAGUAGAUGUUACAGAUUGUUUACGUAUCAUGUAGUGUUUGGCAUGGCAGUAGAUAUUGCAUGUCAUUAAUUUGUGUUGUUGUAAGACUACUGUCUGUACUGUCUCUUCUUCUACCAUUUUUUUCCCCUUCUUGCUUCUGUCAGCACAGGUUCUAAUGUUUUGAAUGUGCCCUCUGUGUUUAUUGAUUAAAAUACUCUCUCAACCACUCAGCAAGCAAUGGACAUUUAUAAACUUUGUUCUCUGCCCUUGGAUUCAUUUCCUUGGUAUGAUACACCUGGCAGGUACCAUAUAACUACAAAUCUAUUAUUUACAAGGGCGAUAAGAGGGAAGGAUCGUUAAUGAUUGUAAUAUUAUUUUGUUAUCACAAUUACUUAGUGGUAAUAUUGAUUUUAUAGAACAUAUGGUAGCUCAAAAAUUUUUGCCAAUUAAUUUUUAAAAGCUGUAUUGUGUACUCAGUCAUUAUCUUUUUAUUUGUUUGAAAAAAAAAAAAUUAAAAAUUAUGCAACAAAAUAAAAGUUAUUUAUUAAAAGAAUUUCAUUUCCUUGUUCCUGUUCCAGUGUUUGAUUAAAAAAAAAAACUGUACAGAGUAUAUUUGUCUGUUACUGGUAAACAAUUUCUAACAAACCACAAUGUUUGAUUAGUCUUUAGAGUAUCCAUCCUAACAUAUGACACAAAUGGAGGAUUGUUUUGUUUGCUGAAAUUUUUUUGUGGGAUUGUGGGUUCGAGUCCCACCUGGGGUGAACAGUAGCAGAGUGGCGCAGCGGAAGCGUGCUGGGCCCAUAACCCAGAGGUCGAUGGAUCGAAACCAUCCUCUGCUAUCAGAGUUUUACU
Molecule: long non-coding RNA, 6291 nt
Organism: Scatophagus argus
Lineage: Eukaryota; Metazoa; Chordata; Actinopteri; Scatophagidae
Exons: 8
Source: RefSeq, a predicted model, not a curated record